RNAcentral lists this ribosomal RNA (484 nucleotides) under uncultured bacterium. RNAcentral's name for it is "partial 16S ribosomal RNA". It matches the Rfam family "Bacterial small subunit ribosomal RNA", at positions 30 to 507 of the family's 1533-position model. The record is from RNAcentral.
AUUGAACGCUGGCGGCAGGCCUAACACAUGCAAGUCGAGCGGAUGAAGGGAGCUUGCUCCUGGAUUCAGCGGCGGACGGGUGAGUAAUGCCUAGGAAUCUGCCUGGUAGUGGGGGAUAACGUCCGGGAACGGGCGCUAAUACCGCAUACGUCCUGAGGGAGAAAGUGGGGGAUCUUCGGACCUCACGCUAUCAGAUGAGCCUAGGUCGGAUUAGCUAGUUGGUGGGGUAAAGGCCUACCAAGGCGACGAUCCGUAACUGGUCUGAGAGGAUGAUCAGUCACACUAGAGCUGAGACACGGUCGAGACUCCUACGGGAGGCAGCAGUGGGGAAUAUUGGACAAUGGGGGAAAGCCUGAUCCAGCAAUGCCGCGUGUGUGAAGAAGGUCUUCGGAUUGUAAAGCACAUUAAGUUGGGAGGAAGGGCAGUAAGUUAAUACCUUGCUGUUUUGACGGUACCAACAGAAGAAGCACCGGCUAACUUCGUG